GAUGAACGCUAGCUACAGGCUUAACACAUGCAAGUCGAGGGGCAGCAUGAACUUAGCUUGCUAAGUUUGAUGGCGACCGGCGCACGGGUGAGUAACACGUAUCCAACCUGCCGAUGACUCGGGGAUAGCCUUUCGAAAGAAAGAUUAAUACCCGAUGGCAUAGUUCUUCCGCAUGGUAGAACUAUUAAGGAAUUUCGGUCAUCGAUGGGGAUGCGUUCCAUUAGGUUGUUGGCGGGGUAACGGCCCACCAAGCCUUCGAUGGAUAGGGGUUCUGAGAGGAAGGUCCCCCACAUUGGAACUGAGACACGGUCCAAACGCCUACGGGAGGCAGCAGUGAGGAAUAUUGGUCAAUGGACGAGAGUCUGAACCAGCCAAGUAGCGUGAAGGAGGACUGCCCUAUGGGUUGUAAACUUCUUUUAUACGGGAAUAAAGUGAGGCACGUGUGCCUUUUUGUAUGUACCGUAUGAAUAAGGAUCGGCUAACUCCGUG
This 489-nucleotide ribosomal RNA is filed under the name uncultured bacterium. RNAcentral's name for it is "partial 16S ribosomal RNA". It matches the Rfam family "Bacterial small subunit ribosomal RNA", at positions 28 to 507 of the family's 1533-position model. The record is from RNAcentral.